CGGUAGAACGCCAGCCCAGUCCGGGCACGGGGGGCACCGCACCCACCGUCGGCGACUUCCUCUGUUGAGGCGCUGGGGAAACCGCGGCCCUCCGGCUUCCUGCAGCGCCCGGGGCGGGGGCAGCUCCCCGAGCCCACCCCGGGGGUGAGGGGAACUUAGCGCAGAAAAGCAGAGAGCCAGGCAGGCAGAGUGCCUUGUGGAGGGUAGAAUCAUAAGUUGUAGGAGGGCCACACUAGAGCUGUCAGUCGGGACUAGAACGAAGACUUCUGGAGUAACAUUCUCAAAGAAAGCACAACAAAGAUGCCACGGUCUCCAGCGAGCUCUCCAGAGGAAAGCCAUCUAUUUUCUCACAGGGUGUGCAGCUGGGCCAGGUAAAUGAAGACCCUCCCCACCUCUGCAUUUCAAGAAGAGAUGCCCAACUCCUGGGAGGAAUCUUGCAGAGUCCAGGGAAAGGUAGUGAGCCUGUUCUAUGGAGGAAGGGCUCAGAAGGGAAAUAGUGCUCUAGGGUAGAGUGGCACCCACAGCACUGAUCUGCCUGCAUAGGGCAUCUUCAACCCAGUGAGGCAUACUGUACAGGAACUAGCCACCAAUUCCUGGCUGCUCUUCCUGCCCAGGUAGAAGAGAACACCAAGGAAGGGACAGAAGAUCCUGAUCCACACUCCUGAAGGCCUCAUCCACAUAGUCAAUUACUACCUAGCCUACUCCUUGAGCCAGCUAGUUUCCAUUUGCCUUAAUCUAGCUUCUGCCCACCAGUGUCCCAAACAGGCACCGGUCCAGCCCUCCUCCUCUCAACCUAGAGAAUAAACCAGAUUUCUAUCCUUGGAAGAUGACUUUCCUGCUCAGCUCAAUGGGCUUUUUGCUGGGGACAAGGAAGAAACGACCCGGGUUCCUAGAGGUUCACUUGCAGGUGUAUAGACACACACACACACACACACACACACACACACACACACACACACACACACGCACGAGCACAAGCCUUCUUCGGACUCUGAGAAGGACAGGGCCUUCAAAUGCAUGUUCCCUACGCCAGCAUCUCAACUCACUGUGCCCUCAGCAUCCUCACUGCUACUGUCCUUUGACAGACAACACAGUGGGGACAGAUAGUCUGGGGAGUCUCAGCCCUGGCACAGUCACACAGUUGUGACACUGGGACCCAUCACACAGACCCUGCCAGCCCCAGGCCAGAUCAUUCCUUGAAGCUGUCUUCAAUUGCUGGAGCAGACAUCAGACUUCACUUCAUACCUUUUCUACUUCCUGAAAGAUCAAGUCAGACCAAAGGAAGCUGAGAACACGUGCUCACCACCUUCACCCAGGCCAGGAAGAAGCAGCCGUGCUAUCAGUGUGCACAGCUGUCUGGAAAGGAGUGUCCAGGAGACCUCCAGGCCCACUAGCGACACCUACCCUCCAGAGCAUGCCCGCCCUGCGCAGAUGGCUCUUUCACACCCUGGGCUCCUGGAGACCCAGCACCUGACUGUUACAGCGAUAGAGAAGCCUAAGGUACAUAAGAACUUGCAGGGGUCAGGGGUAUAGGGUAUGGGUUGCUAAGUCCUGGACAAGCACAUUUUCAAGGACAUCUCUGCAAGAACAUCUAUUCCCAGCUGGGCUCUACAGGCGUGGGCAUACCCACCUAACCUUGUUUUUGAGGUGGGGUCUCACUGUAGUUCAGGCUGGCCUCAGACUCAUGGCAACUGUUCUGCUUCAGCCUCUGACUGACUGCUGGGGCUACAGAUGUGAGCUACUACCUAGCUUGCCCUGGCCCCUUAAGCCCCAUUUUUACACCAUGUGAUAUCCUGCACUCCAACCCUUGGUUUGUACCAUCAACUCUCUCCAGAGGCAUCAUCAUCUCUGGCGGACCGGCAACAGCAAAGCCCCCAGUGAGGUAUUACUCACAGGGUGAGAAUCACCCUUAUUCUCCUCACCAGAUGGAUGGUUUUGAGUAGAUGCUGGAGUGUGAAGUAUCAACCUCACUGCAGAGGUUGACAGGCCUUGCCUACAUUCUCUCCUUGAGAAUUCUUUGGGCUUCAAAGAGCUCUGAGCGUCCUGGUUCUUGUUAAUAGCCUAGGCAGUGGAAUCCAGUGGGUCCUAGCUGCUCAUGAAGCACCUGCACGCUGAAAGGUAUGGACUUCUAUCACUACCACUCAUCCAUCUCAGAGAACCCCGAAUGCCUCAAGUUGGCUUUGGCAGCUCUCUAGCAGCCACGGAGGCUCAGGUGACAGGCCAUCUUGACCAGUCUCUACAGUUCUCCUUGGGAAGGUAGACUUACUUAGCCUCUAGCACACCUGGCCAACGGCAUAUGGAGGCACUCAUGGCUCAAGUGGGGGUGGGCCUCUGGUCUUGUGAAGUUAAGUUCCAGAUGACAGAGCUGGACUGUGCCUAAGGUACUGCUAGCUGAGCUACCCAGGGGACCAUGUGGCCCCAAUGGUCUCUUACAGCUCUUCCUUCUCAUGUCUGAGCCCUUAUAGACCUUCAGGUCUUUCCGGGUUCCUUUCUUGCAGGCUCUUACUUCAGUCCCAAGGUGGAACCUCUGCCAUCCUUCUAAGCUGAACUGGAACAAGAAUACUCCUUAAAGAGUCCUAAUUUCUAGCCUUGCCGCCAGUCACCUGCCUCACUAUUGUGGGGCAAUGGCUCUAUAUAACACUGGAUCUGGUAACUUUCCUACUGCGCACGCGACAGCCAGUUUUCUUCUUUAAGGUCUAGACCAAGUGAAACAGGCCUCCCUUCUCCAGAUCCAGAGACCCUAGGUUCCCCCAAAGCAUGUAGUCUACUUAACUCUCUUGAGCUAGAUCCUGUGUUGUGCACCUGUGUAGUGCCUUGAGACAUCACUGUAUCCAAUGGUGCUGAGUGAGGACAGAGGUGAAUGAAGAAGCAUGAAAAGACUGGCUCAAGGAACAUCUCCAGGCUGCUAAGCGAGGGUUGCUAAUCUCUGCUCAGAGUUUCCUGUUGCUGGGACUGGAAUGGCAUGGACUUCAGCAGACAGCAAUGCUGUACCACUCGAGUCUGUGGGUCCUGGUGUAUGUAUGUGUACCUUCUGUGCACAGGGCCACUAUUCCCACCAGCACUUUUGUUUUUUAAAUGGAAAAUACAAUCCUCUACCUCAGGAGAGAAAAGGCCGAAACUCAGCCAGUCCCCAGGGCUCCUGUGAACCCUGCAAUGGAUAUGUAAUGGAGCAUGUCAGCCCAGCUUAACUGGCACCUUCAGCGCAGUGGCACAGCAGACUACAUGAAGAUAACGACAAGGCUGUGGUGGGUAAACGGUUGCAGUGGGAAAGGAACAGACAGGUCUACUAGGUGGGGUAGCCCUGGAGACUUCUUUAUGCAGGGAGACCAAAAAGAGAGGCAGCCCACUGACAGGCAGUGAAGAUGGUGGGGUAGCUUUGAGAGCAAGUGUAGUUACUGUGGCAGGCUACAUGUGGCAGAGGGUAUCACAUCUGGGUAGUGGGUAAUCUUCAGAGAAAGGAAGGGCUGCCAGAGGUCAGAGGAAUAAAUCAGGCAACACAGAGUAACAGCCUCUGAGGUAGCCUGGAGGAGCUGUGAGGCGCAGAUUUAGACCAUGAGCUCCCUGUCUAGGAACCUGUGGUUGGCCCAGUAUCAUCCAGGUCAUAUAGGCCCAUUUUGCUUUACCCAGUGUGCCUCUCCUGCCCUACAAGUAACCCUCACUCCCAUACUGCUGCCCCUUCUCAACAGGGUGUGGAUUCGAGUCCCUGAGCUCCUCCUUAGCAUAUAAGGAGGGCACUUACAAUGGGUUCCUCUAUGCCCUCACUUCAGGCUGGGCAGAGGAGCCCACUAUAAUAACCCACUCUGUAGAGGGCUAAGCUGCUUCCAUUUCAUUUCAGGAGAGGGGCCCAGAUCCUAGGAAAGCGUUCUCUGGCAGGCACACUGGAAAAACAGACAAACAAACACACCCAGGAUAAUCUAUACGUCUACUAAUCCCUGGUCCCUAAGGGAUAGUUUUUAUAUAGCCUGAGGAUUCUGGCUGGCCUAAGGGAGUGCUUGUGGGAGGGAGUCAUGAAGAAGCAAGUGUAGAUGAGAUGGGGGCUCAAGCUACAUGUGGUGGUCUCUGCCAAGCAGCCACAAACAGCAGGUACUCUGGCAGACAGGAAGAUGGGAAAGGCUGGGCUUUAGGCUUGAUCAUAAGACAGGAAAAGGCUGAGAGCAAACUGGCAACUUCAUGGACAUUCUAGCUGCCAAGAAGGCUUAUGCCCACUGUUUUUUCUGGCUCCAUGAUGGUCAUAGGGAGGAACCUUUUGCAUCCUGGGUAAUGUCAGAAGAAGAAACAUCCGACAGAGUAGGGUCAGCUCCACAUAUACAGAGUCAUCCCUCAAACCAGAAUGUAGGUAAAUCUAGAUGCAGAUCCUAGACAUAGGUCUCCUCUAUGACAGCCCUGGGCGCCUUACCCAUGGUGUGAAAAAACUUGAUAAGGUUCCACCCAAACAGGAAUGGGGUCACCUAUUCAGAGCAGAGGCCCUCUGAUGGUAAAAUAUAACUUAUGUCUAACCUU
Mastomys coucha (southern multimammate mouse) is the source of this 4500-nucleotide long non-coding RNA. RefSeq lists it as uncharacterized. Lineage: Eukaryota; Metazoa; Chordata; Mammalia; Rodentia; Muridae. The record is from RefSeq and is a predicted model, not a curated record. The transcript is spliced from 2 exons.